This 551-nucleotide unclassified non-coding RNA is filed under the name uncultured Lactarius. Its description in RNAcentral is "sequence contains ITS1, 5.8S rRNA gene and ITS2". The stretch from base 89 to 242 matches the Rfam family "5.8S ribosomal RNA". Lineage: Eukaryota; Fungi; Basidiomycota; Agaricomycetes; Russulales; Russulaceae. The record is from RNAcentral.
AUCUCGGAGGGGGCUCGCGUUUUCACACAAAACCCCCCUUUUAAAAGUGUAGAAUGACCUCAUUUAUGCGCUAACCCGCAAUCAAUACAACUUUCAACAACGGAUCUCUUGGCUCUCGCAUCGAUGAAGAACGCAGCGAAAUGCGAUACGUAAUGUGAAUUGCAGAAUUCAGUGAAUCAUCGAAUCUUUGAACGCACCUUGCGCCCCCUGGUAUUCCGAGGGGCACACCCGUUUGAGUGUCGUGAAAACCUCAACCUCCUUGGUUUCUUCUGGAGACCAAAGCAGGCUUGGACUUUGGAGGCCUUUGCUGGCACCUCUCGCCAGCUCCUCUUAAAUGAAUUAGCAGGGUCCUCUUUGCUGAUCCUCGACGUGUGAUAAGAUGUUUCCAUGUCUUGGUUUCUGGCUCUGUCACCUUUGGGACCCGCUUCUAACCGUCUUCAACCUUGCGUUGAGACAACGUUCGAGCAUGUCUCCCUUCUCGGGAAGCUCCCUCGACCCCACGAACCCUUGACCUCAAAUCGGGUGAGACUACCCGCUGAACUUAAGCAUAU